UUAAAAUACCUCACUUUUUAAUUGACAACAAAAGUCUGUGCCUCUUUUUGUUACUGAUACUGAGGAAGUAGAAGAGUUCUUGUGUCCUAAAUCUACAAGAAGCUGUGCAAUUCAUCUUUGCCCCUCUGCGGGGUCUGAAGCUGAGCUCUGACCUAGCCUUCUCCUUUGCAGAGUUUUGCAAUAGAAGUAGAUGCGGAACAGCUAGACUCUGGAAGAGGAAAUUCUCCUGUCACUAGCGAGCUCUGAGAGACUCUGGGUCCUCCUACAAGCUCCUACUGGGUCCCUUGAAGUUGGUUUACGCUUUUAGACAUAUCUAGUUAUGUUGCAAAGAGGAAAUGGCUCUUUACCCUUAACAAUCCAUGCAGAUAAGGAUCGCUAGCUGCCAGAGAACCUGUUUUUCUGAGUAGUGAUGUAAAGCCAGCAGGACUGGUGACAAGGGCUUGCCUUUCCUAGGCAGGAUUCAUCCCAGCAGAGUGUGGUGCACAGCAGUCAACAGCUCAGACAUUGCUGCAGCAGAAUAACCACGAAUCUGGGGUACUUCCCAGCCUGUUUCAGCCAAGCAAGGCUUGCCACAACUCACAGCAGAAUUUCUGUCACUGGGAGAAGCUGUUAUAUUCGCAUAGGGAGAGAUACUAAGUUAAAAGUCGGAGGUUUUAUUUGUUCUCAAGUCAAGGGUGGAGGUUUUCAAAGCGGCACAGUGGACCAAACUUACUGUCCCCCAUUACUGGCAUGUGAAGUUGUUGAAAGCAGCUGAAGUACCAGAAGAGUUGGGAAAUCUGCAGUCCAUUGGCUGCACUAACAACACGGAGAAACAUCUGCACUGCCAGCCUUCUCAGUUCUGCCUGCUACUGUUAAUUAUUUAGAGCAGAGCUAACACUGGAGCCUUUUUUUCUUCUCUUACAUGCAUAAACAUUUUACUGGCAAUUUAUAAAGAUAAGUGCAUUUUAAGAUGCAAGAUUCGCUUUCAGAGACUUUCAGAUAUGAGUGAACACAAAAUGAUCUUGCUAUUUCACCAAUCAGUGUAAAAUGCUGCCUGUGAUUAUUUUUAAUAGAGAUGUUAAUCUCUUGAACUGCUUGAGAAAAUGUUUCAAGUGCAACAUAUUGGUGCAUUAAAAUUAAAGUACUGAGCAGCACAAUGUAGUGCC
RNAcentral lists this long non-coding RNA (1145 nucleotides) under Anas platyrhynchos platyrhynchos (common mallard). RNAcentral's name for it is "lncRNA (ENSAPLG00000020081.1)". Lineage: Eukaryota; Metazoa; Chordata; Aves; Anseriformes; Anatidae. The record is from RNAcentral.